RNAcentral lists this ribosomal RNA (288 nucleotides) under uncultured bacterium. Its description in RNAcentral is "partial 16S ribosomal RNA". It matches the Rfam family "Bacterial small subunit ribosomal RNA", at positions 335 to 612 of the family's 1533-position model. The record is from RNAcentral.
ACUCCUACGGAGGCAGCAGUGGGGAAGUAUUGCACAAUGGGCGCAAGCCUGAUGCAGCCAUGCCGCGUGUGUGCAAGAAGGCCUUCGGGUUGUAAAGCACUUUCAGUCGUGAGGAAGGUAGUGUAGUUAAUAGCUGCAUUAUUUGACGUUAGCGACAGGAAGAAGCACCGGCUAACUCCGUGCCAGGCAGCCGCGGUAAUACGGAGGGUGCGAGCGUUAAUCGGAAUUACUGGGCGUAAAGCGCAUGCAGGUGGUUUGUUAAGUCAGAUGUGAAAGCCCGGGGCUCAA